Molecule: ribosomal RNA, 427 nt
Filed under: uncultured bacterium
Lineage: Bacteria
Description: partial 16S ribosomal RNA
Rfam family: Bacterial small subunit ribosomal RNA
Source: RNAcentral
UGGGGAAUUUUGGACAAUGGGCGCAAGCCUGAUCCAGCCAUGCCGCGUGUCUGAAGAAGGCCUUCGGGUUGUAAAGGACUUUUGUCAGGGAAGAAAAGGGCGGGGUUAAUACCCCUGUCUGAUGACGGUACCUGAAGAAUAAGCACCGGCUAACUACGUGCCAGCAGCCGCGGUAAUACGUAGGGUGCGAGCGUUAAUCGGAAUUACCGGGCGUAAAGCGGGCGCAGACGGUUACUUAAGCAGGAUGUGAAAUCCCCGGGCUCAACCUGGGAACUGCGUUCUGAACUGGGUGACUAGAGUGUGUCAGAGGGAGGUAGAAUUCCACGUGUAGCAGUGAAAUGCGUAGAGAUGUGGAGGAAUACCGAUGGCGAAGGCAGCCUCCUGGGAUAACACUGACGUUCAUGCCCGAAAGCGUGGGUAGCAAACA